RNAcentral lists this non-coding RNA (28 nucleotides) under Homo sapiens (human). The record is from RNAcentral. Lineage: Eukaryota; Metazoa; Chordata; Mammalia; Primates; Hominidae.
UGGGCUUGGAGAAUCACUUGGGUUUCAC